Aspergillus lentulus is the source of this 73-nucleotide non-coding RNA. NCBI's taxonomy places the organism in Eukaryota, Fungi, Ascomycota, Eurotiomycetes, Eurotiales, Aspergillaceae. The record is from Rfam.
GCUCGCAUAGCUCAGUUGGUAGAGCGCAUGACUAGUAAUCAUGAGGUCAGCGGUUCAAAUCCGCUUGUGAGCA